UGACAAUCACUUCCGUUGCAUAUAUAUACAUAUACAUGUGUGUAUAUAUAUAUGAACGUUAACCAUAGUCAAACCGGGCGUUAACCCAACCAAUCAAAUCCACUUCUCUCUCCCUCUCGGAGUGAAAUGGCCGUGACGGAGGAGAAGCCGGCAUCCGACGGCGGAUGUUGGGGUUUCUUCAAGAUGCCGUUCCGUCAUUCCGGCGGCACCAGCAGCUCCGCCUUCACCCUUCCUUCUCCGUCUGGAGCUUCUGCUUCUGCAUCUUCUAGUGUCGAGUCAGAAUCGGCAUGCCACUCCUUCAGUGUCGCAAAGUCGUUUCUCCCCACGAAGCGCCGGUUGAAGCUUGAUCCGGCGACUAAGCUCUAUUUCCCUUGUGAGUUUCUUGAAAUCUCACCUGAUCGCAUCGCUUUUGCUCUUUGACUUUGUUUUCUCUGAUCUGACUUUGUUCUUAGGCCAUCAAUUUUGUUGGAAUUGGAAGUUCUGCGUUAUUGAGCUGAUGCGGGUUCUUUGUUAAGACAACAUUUUGAUCCAUUAUUUCUGGAACUACUAAUUUUACAAGUAGAAAUGGACAUGUUACGAACACCACUAAAACCCUUCUGAUUUUGGAUUCAAGCUCUCUGAGGUGAAAGAAUUUGGUAGAUUCUUCUCAAAUAUUUGGGCAAGAUGUAAGAUUUUUCCCUAGUUGAUUCAUAUUUUGAGAAUGAUCUUGUUCUUCAUCUGGGGAUUAUGAGUGAUGUUUUCCUUAUUUGGAAUCUGCCUCUGCCUUUAGCUGGAACUUGGAAGAUUGAUCAUUGCUUGCAACUGAGGAUUAUCUGGUCAUAAUUAGAAUUUUAAAGAGCACUGAACCAUUUCUACACUUUGUCUGAAGAUGAGCCGGUAAGAAUACAAGCAAAUCUCAUGUGGCUUUUAAGGUUCAUUCUGAAUCUAAAUGACUUUACCCUCAAUUCCAAUUGUGAAGUUUAUGUGAAUUCCUUCCUUGGACUAAACGGGUGUGCAAGUUUUGCACAAAUUUCUUUAGUAUUCUGAUCUGGAAAUGGUCUUCAUUUGGUUUCUUCAGUUUCAAACAACCGCACCAAAGAGUUGCUUCAUGCGGCCACCUGGUGCUAUUCUUGCUCCUGGGGAGACGAUUAUUGCAACUGUCUUCAAAUUUGCCGAGCCUCCUGAGAGCAGUGAAAAGGAUAUGGAUCAAAGGGGCAGGGUGAAUGAAGUUCAAAAUCAUGAGCCUGAAGGUGAAAGGCCCCAUGGACCAUGUGCCUGAGCUGAAACUGGAGGAAGAAGGUCAGACUCUGAAGGGUAUAUAUAGUGUAUGCAAAUGUUCCUUAAUUUGAGAUUAAAGGGAAAUUCAUCGAGCAGCUCAUAGCCUAGAUCGCCACAUUUCAUGGUGUUGCAAUCGAUAUUACCUCUUUUUGUUUGCCAUCUUUCAAUGGGUGGACGUUUCUUGUAGCAACGUAAAGAGAAGGCAUACGUCAUACGUGGGAUGGGAUAUUGGACAUAAUGUUUCAUAGGUAUAGUAUAUAUUUAUAGAUAGAACGAAAUCGAAUUGACGCAGAUGCUGAAGUUGAGGCACGCAAGAGACGGCCGGAAGAUGCUUCUGGUCCAAAGAUGAUAGUAGGAGGGCUUGCAGUUGAUAAAGACAGCGUAAAGAUGUAUAUGUUUUUUCAAUCAUAUAAAAUACGGGUUCUGUAAUUGAUACGAAUACGAUCAAUAGUAUACAAGCCUCUCAGUAGGAAUAAAUAAUAAUCUUAAAAAAAGGGAACAUUUCUUU
This is an RNA transcript of Tarenaya hassleriana, 1765 nucleotides long. It is a transcript of the gene named vesicle-associated protein 4-2-like, with no coding region annotated. The record is from RefSeq and is a predicted model, not a curated record. The transcript is spliced from 5 exons. Lineage: Eukaryota; Viridiplantae; Streptophyta; Magnoliopsida; Brassicales; Cleomaceae.